RNAcentral lists this long non-coding RNA (1241 nucleotides) under Oryctolagus cuniculus (rabbit). RNAcentral's name for it is "lncRNA (ENSOCUG00000038395.1)". Lineage: Eukaryota; Metazoa; Chordata; Mammalia; Lagomorpha; Leporidae. The record is from RNAcentral.
GCAUGAUGCCGUGGGACACCACUAGGAUUCUCCCCCCCUCUCAAAGCUGUAGUACUGUUGUCAGGGGGAAGAAUCCAGAAGGAAGAAAGGGCUUGGUCACAGACAGACGCCUUGCGGGCUCUGCAUAGGCAUCGCCAGCUGCUCAGCCGCUGAAGUCGCUUGUUCCCCCAAGAAAGCCCUGGGCUGCGUAUUACCUAGAAAGGUCAGCUUUGCUUUCCAGCCUAAUCCCCGCCCUGCUGUUGGCCGCGGUGGCGCCCGCGCCCCUGGAAGGGAAACGGUUAUUACUUUCUGACUAAAGCCAUCUGCUGGGUAAUGAGGCCUCCAUCAGGAAGGCGGCCCUUUGCUAACCUCACACCGGGAAUACAGAAUUCCUUUCUCUCCCCCGCUCCCUCUCCUUGACCCCUGACCUGUACUCCCCGUGCACUUGCUAACAAGGAAUUCUGCACAUUCGAUCACCAGUUCCAGGAGCGACAGGAGGAUCCGAAUGGCUCGUCGGAAAGGUGAAGCCACAGAGCCCUGGAGCUUCCAGGCACUCUGCCAGGUGCUCCCCUGUGGUGUGGACGCGUUCCCUGCCGACCUCCAAUUCCUGCCCAGCUGCGUGCUGCCUGCACCCUUGCCUCCCCCGGGCCCGCCCGGCCCUCGCUCCCCAUGUUCCCAAGGCUGCCGCCGUCUGAGUGUUUUCCCAGCAUCAGAGGGUGAUGGAGAGGCUGGGGGCCAGCUGCCAAGAAAGCAUUCGAGCUUUGCUUUCCUAUUUCGCUUCUCUCCCGGCCCAGCAGCCAGGGAAGUGUGUUUUCUGGAAAGAAGUCAACUGCCAGAGACUGCUCUAACCACACGGGGAGGGGAGGAGCUGCGGGCUCGGCCCAGGUGCCCAGGGACUGCCUCCUGCCAGCCCUGCCCUCUGCACAUCUUUGGAUGAGAUGAGACCCGUGAAACAGGAAUCGUUCUCUCCGUUUCAAAGACUGGAGAGUAGAGGCACACAAGCGAGUAGACAGAGCACCCCACAGCGCUGAGCUGGAGCCCCACAGAGAAGGGACGAGCUCCAGGCCCAGCCCUCUCCAAAGCUGGGUUGUUGCGGCCACACCAUGCUGUUGUCGGAAGAAGGAAGGGGACAGCGAGUGGAAGAGAAAGGACCACACCAACCCCAGCUCCUUCAGUACCGCCUGGCCACGUGCAGCGGGAUGCACAUCUUUAAAAUGAACACAAGACCUGCAUAAAAAGUCAUGGCUGGCAGUGUGGACGUU